GGAAAUGCAAUGAGAGGAACAGUAAAGUUCUGUUGAGCAUUCAGAGAGCCCCCGUUUAGGUGAGAGGGGGAAGCAAUGCAGAGCUUGAAGAUCAUCCUUGAGCAUUGUAGCUUGAACCGAUAGUAAAGCUACCAGGAAUGCACCCUUUAUCGUGCCAGCGUAUGAAUACGUACGCCAGAGGUUUAGCUAGCGAUAGCUAAAUAAAAUUAGGUGGUAACACGGUAAUGGAUCGUCCUAAGC
This 240-nucleotide non-coding RNA is filed under the name Limosilactobacillus secaliphilus. RNAcentral's name for it is "Lactobacillus secaliphilus T-box sequence". It matches the Rfam family "T-box leader". Rfam says of the family: Uncharged tRNA acts as the effector for transcription antitermination of genes in the T-box leader family. T-boxes are found upstream of many aminoacyl-tRNA synthetase genes and some amino acid biosynthetic genes usually in Gram-positive bacteria. The record is from RNAcentral. Lineage: Bacteria; Bacillati; Bacillota; Bacilli; Lactobacillales; Lactobacillaceae.